Molecule: non-coding RNA, 31 nt
Filed under: Mus musculus (house mouse)
Lineage: Eukaryota; Metazoa; Chordata; Mammalia; Rodentia; Muridae
Source: RNAcentral
UAUGAUGUGCAGUUUGAAUUUCAUAAAUUUC